This 1130-nucleotide ribosomal RNA is filed under the name Acinetobacter baumannii. RNAcentral describes it as "partial 23S ribosomal RNA". It matches the Rfam family "Bacterial large subunit ribosomal RNA", at positions 1 to 1181 of the family's 2925-position model. The record is from RNAcentral. Lineage: Bacteria; Pseudomonadati; Pseudomonadota; Gammaproteobacteria; Moraxellales; Moraxellaceae.
AGUCAAGUAAUUAAGUGCAUGUGGUGGAUGCCUUGGCAGUCAGAGGCGAUGAAAGACGUGAUAGCCUGCGAAAAGCUCCGGGGAGGCGGCAAAUAUCCUUUGAUCCGGAGAUGUCUGAAUGGGGGAACCCACCUACUUUAAGGUAGGUAUUGCAACAUGAAUACAUAGUGUUGCAAGGCGAACGAGGGGAAGUGAAACAUCUCAGUACCCUUAGGAAAAGAAAUCAAUUGAGAUUCCCUCAGUAGCGGCGAGCGAACGGGGAUCAGCCCAUUAAGUUAUGUGUGUUUUAGUGGAACGCUCUGGGAAGUGCGAACGUAGAGGGUGAUAUUCCCGUACACGAAAGGGCACACAUAAUGAUGACGAGUAGGGCGAGGCACGUGAAACCUUGUCUGAAUAUGGGGGGACCAUCCUCCAAGGCUAAAUACUCCUGACUGACCGAUAGUGAACCAGUACCGUGAGGGAAAGGCGAAAAGAACCCCUGUGAGGGGAGUGAAAUAGAUCCUGAAACCGCAUGCAUACAAGCAGUGGGAGCACCUUCGUGGUGUGACUGCGUACCUUUUGUAUAAUGGGUCAGCGACUUAUAUUCAGUAGCGAGGUUAACCGUAUAGGGGAGCCGUAGAGAAAUCGAGUCUUAAUAGGGCGUUUAGUUGCUGGGUAUAGACCCGAAACCAGGCGAUCUAUCCAUGAGCAGGUUGAAGGUUGGGUAACACUAACUGGAGGACCGAACCCACUGUCGUUGAAAAGCCAGGGGAUGACUUGUGGAUAGGGGUGAAAGGCUAAUCAAGCCUGGUGAUAGCUGGUUCUCCCCGAAAGCUAUUUAGGUAGCGCCUCGGACGAAUACCAUAGGGGGUAGAGCACUGUUUCGGCUAGGGGGUCAUCCCGACUUACCAAACCGAUGCAAACUCCGAAUACCUAUGAGUACUAUCCGGGAGACAGACUGCGGGUGCUAACGUCCGUAGUCAAGAGGAAAACAAUCCAGACCGCCAGCUAAGGCCCCAAAAUCAUAGUUAAGUGGGAAACGAUGUGGGAAGGCAUAGACAGCUAGGAGGUUGGCUUAGAAGCAGCCACCCUUUAAAGAAAGCGUAAUAGCUCACUAGUCGAGUCGGCCUGCGCGGAAGAUGUAACGGGGC